Molecule: unclassified non-coding RNA, 20 nt
Filed under: Dictyostelium discoideum
Lineage: Eukaryota; Evosea; Eumycetozoa; Dictyosteliales; Dictyosteliaceae
Source: RNAcentral
UGGAUGCGAUUGAACACUUC